Molecule: ribosomal RNA, 395 nt
Filed under: uncultured bacterium
Lineage: Bacteria
Description: partial 16S ribosomal RNA
Rfam family: Bacterial small subunit ribosomal RNA
Source: RNAcentral
AUACGUAGGGUGCAAGCGUUAAUCGGAAUUACUGGGCGUAAAGCGUGCGCAGGCGGUUUUGUAAGACAGUGGUGAAAUCCCCGGGCUCAACCUGGGAACUGCCAUUGUGACUGCAAGGCUGGAGUGCGGCAGAGGGGGAUGGAAUUCCGCGUGUAGCAGUGAAAUGCGUAUAUAUGCGGAGGAACACCGAUGGCGAAGGCAAUCCCCUGGGCCUGCACUGACGCUCAUGCACGAAAGCGUGGGGAGCAAACAGGAUUAGAUACCCUGGUAGUCCACGCCCUAAACGAUGUCAACUGGUUGUUGGGGAUUUAUUUUCUCAGUAACGAAGCUAACGCGUGAAGUUGACCGCCUGGGGAGUACGGCCGCAAGGUUAAAACUCAAAUGAAUUGACGGGG